AGUAUUAGUGGAUGAAACCUUGAAACAAUCUUAGGACACCUUCUAGCAUUGCUUAUUUACCUGUGAAUGAGAAAGAAUUUAUAUUCUGAUGAUACA
Molecule: non-coding RNA, 96 nt
Organism: Triticum aestivum (bread wheat)
Lineage: Eukaryota; Viridiplantae; Streptophyta; Magnoliopsida; Poales; Poaceae
Source: Rfam